GCAUAAUUAGUUAUUAGGUCCCUUAAGUUAAUUUUUAGUUCCGCUUUAGUCCCUUAAUUAAAAAACGUUACUCUUUGGUCCAUUAAUAUUAGGUUCGUUAGCAUUAUUGGUCUCUUCCUUUAGUUUAGCUAACAAAACGUUAGCAUAGCUAAGAAAACGCUAGCAUUUGUCAACGUGGAGUGUCAACUAUGUAAUGACUCAAUAAAAAAUAAAAAAAAAAUCAUUAUUUAAGGGUUUCACUUGUAUCAAACAUGCUAUUAUUUCUUUCUUGAUAUUCAAAUGUGAUUACAGAAAGUGUUGGUGUGUAUUUGAUUUAAGUUGUGUCGGUGUGUU
This 333-nucleotide long non-coding RNA is filed under the name Lathyrus oleraceus (garden pea). Its description in RNAcentral is "Pisum sativum (pea) long non-coding RNA (PSAT_LNC040289)". The record is from RNAcentral. Lineage: Eukaryota; Viridiplantae; Streptophyta; Magnoliopsida; Fabales; Fabaceae.